GCAACGUAGAUUGUGCCUUCUUGUUCACCUUCCUCCAUCUUGUCCUUUCUCCCUCACCCAAACACUGACCACAGAGGAGGCUAAUUGGUGUUGGGUCUCCCACCAGCUUCAGGGAACCUCCUUGCAAUAAGAGCUGAAGUUGCAGGACAAUUGGCUAAUCUGAAAUCUAAAGGAAAACAGAUGCCUCCAAGAAGACGUGAGCCUUGAGCAAAUGCCUCCCUGGGGCAGAGGCUGGACACCAAAUAAACUGCACACCAGGAGAGCACAGGGAUCUCAAGAAGAAAAGAGCAAGGCCUGAGAAUGGAGGACUCCGGGUGUUGAAAUCUUGGUAACUGGGGUGGUGCCCGUGGAGAAGAGGGCAGGGUAAGGUGCCUCCACACAACUGCCAUGGGUUCUAGAAGGUGGCAAGGACCAAAAAGUAUAAAAACAGACAAAGAUACUGAGGAUGGGAGAACAUAAGCAACUUGCAGGAGAUCCCAUAACUGGUAAAUAGAGCAGAGUUGGAAGCCGGAAUUCACGCCAAGGUUUCUCACUCACCAGCUUUACAACCUUAAGCAGCCUUCACUUCUUUGAGCCUCGGUUUCCUUCUGUAACUCACAAAUGGCACAAACAGUAUAGGGCAGUUCUACACAUUAAAGUCCAUUCACACGAGUGUGCCUUACUGUCUGUGAGCUGUAAAUGUUUGAGACAUUACUACCAAUAUCUUCCUCCAUGUAAUAAGAUCUGUGUACUUCCUAAUAGCACACUUCUCCCCCUAUUUGGUG
This is a long non-coding RNA of Chlorocebus sabaeus (green monkey), 764 nucleotides long. RefSeq lists it as uncharacterized. Lineage: Eukaryota; Metazoa; Chordata; Mammalia; Primates; Cercopithecidae. The record is from RefSeq and is a predicted model, not a curated record.